AUUGAACGCUGGCGGCAGGCCUAACACAUGCAAGUCGAGCGGAUGAAGGGAGCUUGCUCCUGGAUUCAGCGGCGGACGGGUGAGUAAUGCCUAGGAAUCUGCCUGGUAGUGGGGGAUAACGUCCGGAAACGGGCGCUAAUACCGCAUACGUCCUGAGGGAGAAAGUGGGGGAUCUUCGGACCUCACGCUAUCAGAUGAGCCUAGGUCGGAUUAGCUAGUUGGUGGGGUAAAGGCCUACCAAGGCGACGAUCCGUAACUGGUCUGAGAGGAUGAUCAGUCACACUGGAACUGAGACACGGUCCAGACUCCUACGGGAGGCAGCAGUAGGGAAUAUUGGGCAAUGGGCGAAAGCCUGAUCCAGCCAUGCCGCGUGUGUGAAGAAGGUCUUCGGAUUGUAAAGCACUGUAAGUUGGGAGGAAGGGCAGUAAGUUAAUACCUUGAUGUUUUGACGUUACCAACAGAAUAAGCACCGGCUAACUGCGUG
RNAcentral lists this ribosomal RNA (484 nucleotides) under uncultured bacterium. RNAcentral's name for it is "partial 16S ribosomal RNA". It matches the Rfam family "Bacterial small subunit ribosomal RNA", at positions 30 to 507 of the family's 1533-position model. The record is from RNAcentral.